This 148-nucleotide signal recognition particle RNA is filed under the name Pan paniscus (pygmy chimpanzee). Its description in RNAcentral is "Metazoan signal recognition particle RNA". It matches the Rfam family "Metazoan signal recognition particle RNA". From Rfam's summary of the family: The signal recognition particle (SRP) is a universally conserved ribonucleoprotein. It is involved in the co-translational targeting of proteins to membranes. The eukaryotic SRP consists of a 300-nucleotide 7S RNA and six proteins: SRPs 72, 68, 54, 19, 14, and 9. The record is from Rfam by way of RNAcentral. Lineage: Eukaryota; Metazoa; Chordata; Mammalia; Primates; Hominidae. RNAcentral also lists the same sequence under 1 other name.
GCCAGGCAUGGUGGCACGUGCCUGUAGUCCCAGCUACUCGGGAGGCUGAGGCAGGAGAAUCGCUUGAACCCAGGAGGCGGGGGUUGCAAUGAGCCGAGAUCAUGCCAUUGCACUCCAGCCUGGGUGACAGAGUGAGAUUCUGUCUCAA